Molecule: ribosomal RNA, 292 nt
Filed under: uncultured bacterium
Lineage: Bacteria
Also listed under: 1 other name
Description: partial 16S ribosomal RNA
Source: RNAcentral
GGACUACCGGGGUAUCUAAUCCUGUUUGCUCCCCACGCUUUCGCGCCUCAGCGUCAGUAUCGGUCCAGAGAGCCGCCUUCGCCACCGGUGUUCUUCCCAAUAUCUACGAAUUUCACCUCUACACUGGGAAUUCCACUCUCCUCUCCCGAACUCAAGCCACCCCGUCCCAAGUGCAAUUCCCAGGUUGAGCCUGGGGCUUUCACACCUGACAAAGGCGGCCGCCUACGCGCCCUUUACGCCCAGUAAUUCCGAACAACGCUUGCCCCCUUCGUAUUACCGCGGCUGCUGGCAC